AGUGAACGCUGGCGGUAGGCCUAACACAUGCAAGUCGAACGGCAGCACAGUAAGAGCUUGCUCUUACGGGUGGCGAGUGGCGGACGGGGGAGGAAUACAUCGGAAUCUACUUUUUCGUGGGGGAUAACGUAGGGAAACUUACGCUAAUACCGCAUACUACCUACGGGUGAAAGCAGGGGAUCUUCGUACCUUGCGCGACUGAAUGAGCCGAUGUCGGAUUAGCUAGUUGGCGGGGUAAAGGCCCACCAAGGCGACGAUCCGUAGCUGGUCUGAGAGGAUGAUCAGCCACACUGGAACUGAGACACGGUCCAGACUCCUACGGGAGGCAGCAGUGGGGAAUAUUGGACAAUGGGCGCAAGCCUGAUCCAGCCAUACCGCGUGGGUGAAGAAGGCCUUCGGGUUGUAAAGCCCUUUUGUUGGGAAAGAAAAGCAGCAGGUUAAUACCCCGCUGUUCUGACGGUACCCAAAGAAUAAGCACCGGCUAACUUCGUG
Molecule: ribosomal RNA, 492 nt
Filed under: uncultured bacterium
Lineage: Bacteria
Description: partial 16S ribosomal RNA
Rfam family: Bacterial small subunit ribosomal RNA
Source: RNAcentral